Molecule: ribosomal RNA, 158 nt
Filed under: Hypericum perforatum
Lineage: Eukaryota; Viridiplantae; Streptophyta; Magnoliopsida; Malpighiales; Hypericaceae
Also listed under: 5 other names
Description: 5.8S ribosomal RNA
Rfam family: 5.8S ribosomal RNA
About the family: 5.8S ribosomal RNA (5.8S rRNA) is a component of the large subunit of the eukaryotic ribosome. It is transcribed by RNA polymerase I as part of the 45S precursor that also contains 18S and 28S rRNA.
Source: RNAcentral
CAAUAACGACUCUCGGCAACGGAUAUCUAGGCUCUUGCAUCGAUGAAGAACGUAGCGAAAUGCGAUACUUGGUGUGAAUUGCAGAAUCCCGUGAACCAUCGAGUCUUUGAACGCAAGUUGCGCCCGAAGCCUUCUGGCCGAGGGCACGCCUGCCUGGG